Molecule: long non-coding RNA, 1013 nt
Organism: Astatotilapia calliptera (eastern happy)
Lineage: Eukaryota; Metazoa; Chordata; Actinopteri; Cichliformes; Cichlidae
Source: Ensembl
UAGACACAUAACAGGGUCAUCAUUCAUUUGCAUUUUAACAAGUCCUUCAGCUAUGACACCAGAUCGUGUGAAUUCAUUACCAUACAGGGCUGCGGUUCAUCCAGCCAUCUAUUAGUGACGCCAAUUAGUUUACUGGGACAGGUUCACGAGAUGCAAAUAGGCCCUCAGACGCACCAAGCAGAGCUGCCCCAAACUUUUUCACAUAGAGACUCUCAUGACAGACACACAUUCAAAAAAGGUUUUUGUCCCAGUGACCCACAUCUGUGAGAAGUUGAAAAAUAUGUUGUAAGCAUAUAAUUUGUGGUAAGUGGGGUAAUAAAUAAAUUCAUCUUGUGUGUCACUCUAAGCUUUAAGUCUCUGAACAUCCUUAUUUUGAAAUCUGUGAAAUGGUGUCCCUUUAUCUGGACAGGAAGAUAUAUUGCUGCUGAUGUUGCGCCGUGUCCUAGAUUCAGUGCUCUCUUCUCUCAGUUGUCACGUAGGAAACGUGCAACCUCAAUAUCUGUGAAGCAUUUCGUACUGCUAAAGGCAUCCAUAACAAAGACUGAUAAAAAAACAACUAAAUUAAAACAAACCAAAAAAAAAAAGAACAUCAGCUUGAUUUCUGCUCGCCCGUUACUGGUGGAACAAACCAGUCCGGUGUAAAAAUGUGCAACAGCCUGUUUAUUGUAAACUGCCACUUACAGGUUAGACAGGCCCUGCCACCAGAAGCCUUGAUGUUACUUCAGGAGGACAGAGCAAGUCACAGGUCUCCCGUGAAAGAGAAGUCCAAGACAACUCAUGUGUCACCCGGGAAAGAUACGGGCAGUUAAAACCUGUCAGCCAGCACAGGAACCUGUUACUUUUAUUCACCCUUUUGUAUCCAAGGUCACUGCUGGGCCUGUAUUAGUCAUUUCAGAAAAGAAUUUCCUUCUUCCUCCUUUCAUUUCAGACUCCGAUUGACGCCUGUAAGAGUGAUUUCUGGUGGAGACAAAACAAACAUUUUAACUACACCUUACAGACAUUUUGGAUUUGUU